UCGCUUGUGCCAGGUUUAAGUGUAGGCGAUCUGUGAGUCUGAGUUCGUGCUGCCUUCUAGGUUAAGUAACUGGGAGACUCGAGGAUACUCGAGAAUACACCGCAUAGGUGACAGCGGGACCGGCCGGCACGGGGCAGCGGAACUUCGCUGAGUCCCAGCCAGAGCAGCUUCUCUCAGCUCCGAGUCUACAGGUGGCGGCCGCCCUGACUGACUCGGCCAGGGAUGGUGCUGUGGCCCCGGGCGGAGCUUGCAGACUGCACUGCGCUCAUCUGAGGUCAGCGACAGCCCCUGCCCAGGUCUUUUCAGCCUCACCGGGCUGAUAGGGGCUGGGCAGCCUGGUUGGGGGAGGUCCCGGUCUGUCACCCAGUGUAAGGGAGGCUGGAGAAGUUUUCUCUACAGCAAGAUCCACGUGUUGAGAAGCGUGAAGAUGCGAUUCUGGAGAGAUGGGAGACGGAGCGGAUGAGCCCAGGGACUUCGAUUCUGAGGGCGCCGGUGGCAUGAUCACUGGGGGCUUGACUCCUUUUCUCCCCACAAGUGUGGGCCUUCCCUGGAACCCCUCUGCUGACCCAGGGUCAGGGCAGCUGUUCUCAGCCAGGAUGUACACGGUUUAGCUCAGACAUGCUAAGCAGAGGCAGCCGCCCCCAGACUUUACCGUGAUCAUCAGCAGAUUUGGGAGACGACUCCGCGGGAAGGCCUUCUAUAACGUGGGUGAGAAAGUGUACUGCCAGGAGGACUUCCUG
Long non-coding RNA from Arvicola amphibius (Eurasian water vole), 740 nucleotides. RefSeq lists it as uncharacterized. The transcript is spliced from 3 exons. The record is from RefSeq and is a predicted model, not a curated record. NCBI's taxonomy places the organism in Eukaryota, Metazoa, Chordata, Mammalia, Rodentia, Cricetidae.